Molecule: long non-coding RNA, 2535 nt
Organism: Oncorhynchus kisutch (coho salmon)
Lineage: Eukaryota; Metazoa; Chordata; Actinopteri; Salmoniformes; Salmonidae
Exons: 3
Source: RefSeq, a predicted model, not a curated record
GGGUAACUCCCCAGUGUGUUUGUGGAAAUAUUAAAUUUUUUCACCGCGUAAAAGGGCCACGGUUGGCAGCAGGGUGGAGCAUUGCAAGUUUAAUGCCGUGUUUAGACAUUGUUCUCUUUCUUAUGUCUGGUCUUCACAAGAGAAGGUCACGGGUUGUUUUAUACGAGUAUCUUUCAUUUAUUUGCACCGUAAACUCAGUCCUUUGUCUGGACAAUUGUUCCUUUAUGAUCUAGUCAGGUCAGUACAAUAGUAAAAUGCUCUAAACACGCUCUUGUGACAAACACACUUUGCUGUCCUGUUUUCUAAUCGUCCACAUGGCUGGGAGAACCUAUUCAAGUAGCUAGCUAACAGCCAUGGAGAAGGGUGAAAGGAUAGCAACCCCAACUGUGGAUAGGGCAGGUACGUUUGUGUAGUUCCAGUCCCUAGAAGUGAGAACCGAGAUAAUAGUAACAUACUAUUCAGUGCGGUCUAAUUUGAGUAUAAUGAAGUCUGUUUCUUGUGAGGUUUUCUGUCCUCGGUUUACAGAGAGCUGUGAAAUCCUGUCUACUCAAAGGGGUGCACGUUUUUGCACUGCACAGCUGACACAAAAUGAUCAACUCAUCAAGCUUCAAGUGAUACCUUGUAACUGGAGAUUCCUUCAAACCGAUUGCCAACAGUUAACAUGUAGGGCACUGCAAGGUUGGGUGACCAGGGCCAUCUGGGACUGCCUCCUGGAGGAAUUCAGGUGUGUGAAGGCUACCUGUGUCCUGAAUAAUGUCAUGAGGAUGGACACGAGGACCAGGAGGGGGGGGAUCUGUGUGCUGGAUUUCUUCACCACAUACUUUUUUUGAGGAGGGUGCUGUUCCCUGCCAACCCCAUAGACUACACUAUGCACAACCAAAGGCUCUUAAGAGCAUUCACAUUGCAAUAAGAGUAUUCUUCCAUUUACUUAGCUAUGUCAACUGCAGUUAUAUCAGUUUGAUCUCCAUCUCUUCAUUCAAAGACUCAAUCAUGGACACUCUUACUGACAGUUGUUGCUGCUUUGCGUGAUAUAUUGUUGUCUUUACCUCCUUGACCUUUUGUGCUGUUGUCUUCGCCCAAUAAUGUUUGUACCCUGUGCUCUUGCCAUAUUGUUACUACCGUGUUGUCAUGUUGAGUUGCUACCAUGUUGUCAUGUUGCAUUGCUACCAUACUGUGUUGCUGCCACGUUGUCUUAGGUCUCUUUAUGUAGUGUUGUUGUCAUGUUGAGUUGCUACCAUGUUGUCAUGUUGAGUUGCUACCAUGUUGUCAUGUUGAGUUGCUGCCACGUUGUCUUAGGUCUCUUUAUGUAGUGUUGUUGUCGUCUCUUGUCAUGUGUGUUUUGUCCUAUUUUUAUUUAAUUUAUUUUAAUCCCGCCCCCGCAGGAGGCCUUUUGCCUCUUGGUAGGCUGUCAUCGUAAAUAAGAAUUUGUUCAACUGACUUGGCUAGUUAACUAAAAUAUAAAAUUCCCAGUCUCUCUUUUUUUGUAUUUCUACUUCUCAGGUGAGGGUGCUGUUUAGGUAAGGGAAGUAUUAUUAAAGAGAUGCUUUACAUUGAAAUAGAGAUGCAGUAGUCCCAGAGUUAAUGAUCCAAGAUCAGUUUAUAUUAUACAGGAAGUAUUAUUAAAGAGAUGUAGUAGUCCCAGAGUUAAUGAUCCCAGGUCAGUUUAUAUUAUACAGGAUUAUUAAAGAGAUGUAGUAGUCCCAGAGUUAAUGAUCCCAGGUCAGUUUAUAUUAUACAGGAAGUAUUAUUAAAGAGAUGCUUUACAUUGAAAUACAGAUAGAUGUAGUAGUCCCAGAGUUAAUGAUCCAAGAUCAGUUUUGCAUUUCACCUCUUGAUGAUUAUUAUGACAGACUGUUAGUUUAAGCCUUGUUUUUUUGUUGUUUUUUUAUUCAGUCUCUCCAUAUGCAGGAAUUUAUUUAAAAAUAAAUUCACCUUUAUUUAACCAGGUAGGCCAGUUGAGAACAAGUUUUCAUUUACAAUUGCUACCUAACUAAGAUAAAGCAAAGCAGUGUGACAAAAACAAGAGUUACACAUGGCAUAAACAUGUAUGUUUUGAUGUGAGAGAGGAUGCCAACACUCGGUCCCGUCAUCGCCACCUCACUCGCUCUUAAGAUAACCUUCGGGCCGACUAGGAGCCCAAGGCUGGUUAGAAGGCACUGAUGUAAUAGUUAUGAACUGAGAGAAUAUUAGGGUAGCACUGUGAUUCAUUAAUCACAUGCUGUCUUCCCUGCUCCUCUGUUCUUACCUCUUUCCAUUUGUCUUCUACACCUCUCUCCACCUUUGUUCCUCUGUUCUUACCUCUUUCCCUUUCUGUCUUCUACACCCCUCACUCCCCACCACUUUGUUCCUCUGUUCUUACCUCUUUCCCUUUCUGUCUUCUACACCUCUCUCACCACCUCCUUCCUCUGUUGUUAUAAUGCACACCAGAUGUGCAUUGAAGUACAGAUUGAACUUGUAUUUAUAAUAUAUUACAAUAUUUAUAACACUUGUAUAAUGAACUUAUUUCAAUAAAGCGUUUCACAUUUUCUACAGUGU